GAAAGAUCGUCGGUAGAACUAGCACAGCACUGUUUUUCUAUAAUCAAGAUGUUAGGUUUUUUGACCGGACUGACUGCUGGUACUGCCUUUGGCAUCUAUGUGGCCCAGAACUACAAAGUGCCUAAUAUGGCAGUGCUCCUGGGAAAAGCCCGUACUGUGAUAUCAACCUACCAGAAAUCCUCAGAGGAAAGCAAAACAAACGACUCAAACGACAAGGACAAUUGACUGAGACAAUAAUUACUUUUUACACAUUCCAUGUUUCAAUUUUGUUGAACUGAUUUUGAAAACACACAAACUUUCAAGACACAAA
Long non-coding RNA from Halichondria panicea, 310 nucleotides. RefSeq lists it as uncharacterized. The record is from RefSeq and is a predicted model, not a curated record. The transcript is spliced from 3 exons. NCBI's taxonomy places the organism in Eukaryota, Metazoa, Porifera, Demospongiae, Suberitida, Halichondriidae.